Molecule: ribosomal RNA, 492 nt
Filed under: uncultured bacterium
Lineage: Bacteria
Description: partial 16S ribosomal RNA
Rfam family: Bacterial small subunit ribosomal RNA
Source: RNAcentral
AGUGAACGCUGGCGGUAGGCCUAACACAUGCAAGUCGAACGGCAGCACAGUAAGAGCUUGCUCUUACGGGUGGCGAGUGGCGGACGGGUGAGGAAUACAUCGGACUCUACUUUUUCGUGGGGGAUAACGUAGGGAAACUUACGCUAAUACCGCAUACGACCUCCGGGUGAAAGCAGGGGAUCUUCGGACCUUGCGCGAUUGAAUGAGCCGAUGUCGGAUUAGCUAGUUGGCGGGGUAAAGGCACACCAAGGCGACGAUCCGUAGCUGGUCUGAGAGGAUGAACAGCCAAACUGGAACUGAGACACGGUCCAGACUCCGACGGGAGGCAGCAGUGGGGAAUAUUGGACAAUGGGCGCAAGCCUGAUCCAGCCAUACCGCGUGGGUGAAGAAGGCCUUCGGGUUGGAAAGCCCUUUUGUUGGGAAAGAAAAGCAGCAGGUUAAUACCCCGCUGUUCUGACGGUACCCAAAGGAUAAGCACCGGCUAACUUCGUG